CCUACGGGGGGCUGCAGUGAGGAAUAUUGGUCAAUGGGCGUAAGCCUGAACCAGCCAAGUCGCGUGAGGGAUGAAGGUUCUAUGGAUCGUAAACCUCGUUUAUAAGGUAAUAAAGUGUGGGACGUGUCCUAUUUUGUAUGUACCUUAUGAAUAAGGAUCGGCUAACUCCGUGCCAGCAGCCGCGGUAAUACGGAGGAGCCGAGCGUUAACCGGAUUUAUUGGGUUUAAGGGGUGCGUAGGCGGCAUGUUAAGUCAGCGGUGAAAGUCUGUGGCUCAACCAUAGAAUUGCCGUUGAAACUGGGGGGCUUGAGUAUGUUUGAGGCAGGCGGAAUGCGUGGUGUAGGAGUGAAAUGCUUAGAUAUCACGCAGAACCCCGAUGGCGAAGGCAGCCUGCCAAGCCAUGACUGACGCUGAUGCACGAAAGCGUGGGGAUCAAACAGGAUUAGAUACCCUAGUAGUC
This 460-nucleotide ribosomal RNA is filed under the name uncultured bacterium. RNAcentral describes it as "partial 16S ribosomal RNA". It matches the Rfam family "Bacterial small subunit ribosomal RNA", at positions 338 to 795 of the family's 1533-position model. The record is from RNAcentral.